UUCAGAGAUUUACAUCUUGCUUCAAGUCAUGCAGCUCAUUCCCACAUAUGCCAAUUUACAAGCUUUUAUUAGAAGAAGACUUAAAACUAGGACACCUCUUUCCUUGUGGAUUUUCAAAAUCUUCCACCUAGUAAAUUACUUCAGCUUUAUGUUGAGCAAGUUUAGUUUUUAAAUACUUUGAUUGUAUUAGGGUAACAAAUAUUAUAAAUGAAUAUAUGUCCUCCAACAGUCCCAAACUAUUUGUGGAUAAUAGUUGACAAGACAUAUAUCACUUUAAUACAUGGUGCAACGGGUAAUGUAACGCCAAAAGUAUUGUAAACAAUGAUCCAAAUGCACUCCUAACCUUUUCUUGCAUUUCAGACAUCCGAUCGAGUUGCAUAUAAUUUAUCUGCCACAUAUGCCAAUUUACAAGCUUUUAUUAGAAGAAGACUUAAAACUAGGACACCUCUUUCCUUGUGGAUUUUCAAAAUCUUCCACCUAAUAAAUUACUUCAGCUUUAUGUUGAGCAAGUUUAGUUUUUAAAUACUUUGAUUGUAUUAGGGUAACAAAUAUUAUAAAUGAAUAUAUGUCCUCCAACAGUCCCAAACUAUUUGUGGAUAAUAGUUGACAAGACAUAUAUCACUUUAAUACAUGGUGCAACGGGUAAUGUAACGCCAAAAGUAUUGUAAACAAUGAUCCAAAUGCACUCCUAACCUUUUCUUGCAUUUUAGACAUCCGAUCGAGUUGCAUAUAAUUUAUCUGUCGACCAUAACUUGUUAAAUGAAUG
RNAcentral lists this long non-coding RNA (766 nucleotides) under Coffea arabica (coffee). Its description in RNAcentral is "long non-coding RNA (CARA_LNC007424)". Lineage: Eukaryota; Viridiplantae; Streptophyta; Magnoliopsida; Gentianales; Rubiaceae. The record is from RNAcentral.